ACGGUGAGGGAUGAAAGCUGGGGGAGCAAACCGGAUUAGAUACCCGGGUAGUCCCAGCUGUAAACCAUGCAAACUCAGUGAUGCAUUGGCUUGUGGCCAAUGCAGUGCUGCAGGGAAGCCGUUAAGUUUGACGCCUGGGAAGUACGCACGCAAGUAUGAAACUUAAAGGAAUUGGCGGGGGAGCACCAAAAGGGGUGAAGCCUGCGGUUCAAUUGGAGUCAACGCCA
This 227-nucleotide ribosomal RNA is filed under the name uncultured crenarchaeote. Its description in RNAcentral is "partial 16S ribosomal RNA". It matches the Rfam family "Archaeal small subunit ribosomal RNA", at positions 694 to 920 of the family's 1478-position model. Lineage: Archaea; Thermoproteati; Thermoproteota. The record is from RNAcentral.